AGGAUGAACGCUGGCGGCGUGCUUAACACAUGCAAGUCGAACGAUGAAAGCCGGAGCUUGCUCUGGCUGGAUUAGUGGCGAACGGGUGAGUAACACGUGAGUAACCUGCCCCAGACUCUGGGAUAAGCGCUGGAAACGGCGUCUAAUACCGGAUACGAGCUUCAGCCGCAUGGCUAGGAGCUGGAAAGAAUUUCGGUCUGGGAUGGACUCGCGGCCUAUCAGCUAGUUGGUGAGGUAACGGCCCACCAAGGCGACGACGGGUAGCCGGCCUGAGAGGGUGACCGGCCACACUGGGACUGGGACACGGGCCCAGACUCCUACGGGAGGCAGCAGUGGGAAUAUUGCACAAUGGGCGCAAGCCUGAUGCAGCAACGCGCGUGAGGACGACGGCCUUCGGUUGUAACCUCGUUUAAGUAGGAAGAAGCGAAAGUGACGGUACCUAGACCAAGAAAACGCAACCGGACUAACGUACGUGCCGAGCGACGCCGAC
Molecule: ribosomal RNA, 490 nt
Filed under: uncultured soil bacterium
Lineage: Bacteria
Description: bacterial SSU rRNA
Rfam family: Bacterial small subunit ribosomal RNA
Source: RNAcentral